RNAcentral lists this transfer RNA (71 nucleotides) under Anaerolineae bacterium. Its description in RNAcentral is "tRNA-Cys". It matches the Rfam family "tRNA". Rfam says of the family: Transfer RNA (tRNA) molecules are approximately 80 nucleotides in length. Their secondary structure includes four short double-helical elements and three loops (D, anti-codon, and T loops). The record is from RNAcentral. Lineage: Bacteria; Bacillati; Chloroflexota; Anaerolineae.
GGCGUGUGAACCUGACGGCCGGGUAGCGCUCUGCAAAAGCGCGUAAACGGGUUCGACUCCCGUACACGCCU